RNAcentral lists this ribosomal RNA (104 nucleotides) under Mustela putorius furo (domestic ferret). Lineage: Eukaryota; Metazoa; Chordata; Mammalia; Carnivora; Mustelidae. The record is from RNAcentral.
UACAGCCAUACCACCCUGAAUGGGCCAGAUCUCGUCUGAUCUUGGAAGCUAAGCAGGGUGGGCCCUGGUUAGUACUUGGAUGGGAGGAAAGGGAUUGGCUGUAC